AUUGAACGCUGGCGGCAGGCUUAACACAUUCAAGUCCAACGGUAACAGGAAUAAGCUUGCUUCUUUGCUGCCGAGCGGCGGACGGGUGAGCCAUGUUUGGGCAACUGUCUGAUGGUGGGGGAUAACUGCUGGAAACGGUAGCUAAUACCGCAUAACGUCGCAAGACCAAAGAGGGGGACCUUCGGUCCUCUCGCCCUCUGAUGUGCCCAGAUGGGAAUACCUAGUAGGUGGGGUAACGGCUCACCACGGCGGCGAUCCAUAGCUGGUCUGUGAGGAUGACCAGCCACACUGGAACUGAGACACGGUCCAGACUCCUACGGGAGGCAGCAGUGGGGAAUAUUGCACAAUGGGCGAAAGCCUGAUGCAGCCAUGCCGCGUGUAUGAAGAAGGCCUUCGGGUUGUAAAGUACUUUCAGCGGGGAGGAAGGGAGUAAAGUUAAUACCUUGGCUCAUUGACGUUACCCGCAGAAGAAGCACCGGCUAACUCCGUG
RNAcentral lists this ribosomal RNA (490 nucleotides) under uncultured bacterium. RNAcentral's name for it is "partial 16S ribosomal RNA". It matches the Rfam family "Bacterial small subunit ribosomal RNA", at positions 30 to 507 of the family's 1533-position model. The record is from RNAcentral.